Molecule: ribosomal RNA, 610 nt
Filed under: Priestia megaterium
Lineage: Bacteria; Bacillati; Bacillota; Bacilli; Caryophanales; Bacillaceae
Description: bacterial SSU rRNA
Rfam family: Bacterial small subunit ribosomal RNA
Source: RNAcentral
GGCUCACCAAGGCAACGAUGCAUAGCCGACCUGAGAGGGUGAUCGGCCACACUGGGACUGAGACACGGCCCAGACUCCUACGGGAGGCAGCAGUAGGGAAUCUUCCGCAAUGGACGAAAGUCUGACGGAGCAACGCCGCGUGAGUGAUGAAGGCUUUCGGGUCGUAAAACUCUGUUGUUAGGGAAGAACAAGUACGAGAGUAACUGCUUGUACCUUGACGGUACCUAACCAGAAAGCCACGGCUAACUACGUGCCAGCAGCCGCGGUAAUACGUAGGUGGCAAGCGUUAUCCGGAAUUAUUGGGCGUAAAGCGCGCGCAGGCGGUUUCUUAAGUCUGAUGUGAAAGCCCACGGCUCAACCGUGGAGGGUCAUUGGAAACUGGGGAACUUGAGUGCAGAAGAGAAAAGCGGAAUUCCACGUGUAGCGGUGAAAUGCGUAGAGAUGUGGAGGAACACCAGUGGCGAAGGCGGCUUUUUGGUCUGUAACUGACGCUGAGGCGCGAAAGCGUGGGGUAGCAAACAGGAUUAGAUACCCUGGUAGUCCACGCCGUAAAGGAGUCUAAGUGUUAGAGGGUUUCCGCCCUUUAGUGCUGCAGCUAACGCAUUAAGCA